GCACCCGUAGCUCAAUUGGAUAGAGCAUCGGUCUACGGAACCGAAGGUUAGAGGUUCGAGUCCUCUCGGGUGUACCA
This 77-nucleotide transfer RNA is filed under the name Planctomycetota bacterium. RNAcentral describes it as "Planctomycetes bacterium tRNA-Arg". It matches the Rfam family "tRNA". From Rfam's summary of the family: Transfer RNA (tRNA) molecules are approximately 80 nucleotides in length. Lineage: Bacteria; Pseudomonadati; Planctomycetota. The record is from RNAcentral.